GAUGAAGAACGCAGCGAAAUGCGAUAAGUAAUGUGAAUUGCAGAAUUCAGUGAAUCAUCGAAUCUUUGAACGCACAUUGCGCUCCCUGGUAUUCCGGGGAGCAUGCCUGUUCGAGCGUCAUUACAACCCUCAAGCUCAGCUUGGUGUUGGGCCCCGCCGCCCCGGCGGGCCCUAAAGUCAGUGGCGGUGCCGUCCGGCUCCGAGCGUAGUAAUUCUUCUCGCUCUGGAGGUCCGGUCGUGUGCUCGCCAGCAACCCCCAAUUUUUUUCAGGUUGACCUCGGAUCAGGUAGGGAUACCCGCUGAACUUAAGCAUAUCAAUAAGCGGAGGA
This 329-nucleotide unclassified non-coding RNA is filed under the name soil metagenome. Its description in RNAcentral is "partial contains 5.8S ribosomal RNA, internal transcribed spacer 2, and large subunit ribosomal RNA". The stretch from base 1 to 120 matches the Rfam family "5.8S ribosomal RNA", at positions 35 to 154 of the family's 154-position model. The record is from RNAcentral.